This 142-nucleotide unclassified non-coding RNA is filed under the name uncultured Devriesia. RNAcentral's name for it is "sequence contains ITS2". The record is from RNAcentral. Lineage: Eukaryota; Fungi; Ascomycota; Dothideomycetes; Mycosphaerellales; Teratosphaeriaceae.
ACACCCAUCAAGCCUGGCUUGGUAUUGGGCGAAGGGACCUCCCCGCGCCCCGAUUUCGCCGGCUGGACGACCCGAUCUCUCAAGCGUUGUACAAUCUCGCUGGUGGGAGGGGCGGCCAUGCCGUUAACCUAAUCAAUUCAAG